AAACUUAGGUUAAACAAACCAGGGACCUUCAAAGCCCCAAACAAGAGUCAGCAAACCCUCCUAGUUUCU
Molecule: transfer RNA, 69 nt
Filed under: Cyrtodactylus agusanensis (Mindanao bow-fingered gecko)
Lineage: Eukaryota; Metazoa; Chordata; Lepidosauria; Squamata; Gekkonidae
Description: tRNA-Trp
Source: RNAcentral